UAUUCAAACCGUAUUUUACCGAUAUUGAUGAGUACAAGGGGCAACCCAACCACCACACUUGCAAGUUCAGGAUGAACACAGAGUUUGAUCUUCCUUUUUCUGAAACAAAUCCUAAGCAAAUACUAAGUGCGAGUCCAGUGAGAAUUUGUUGCUGAUACUAUUGGUGAUUUGGUGGUGCGAAUGGUGCUGGAUACACUACUUGAUGUGGGUGUGAACAAGCAAGAACUUGGAGAUCAAAGCUCUACAAUCCUAGUUUAUGCCGCCUAUGCUACUGUCUCUGCCUUUGCAUAUAGGUGUGGUUAUAGGCACCCUGCAGAGCUCAAAUCAAAAGAAACAAAGUUGAGGUUGAUUGAAGAUUCUAUCAUAGAGCUCUCAGCAAAGCUUCAACAAAAAGAAGAGGAAUUGGAUUCAGCUCGACAACAUGUGAAACAUUGUGCCAGAAAAAUUGAAUCAAAAGAGGAGGAGCUCAAUAAAAUCAAAGGAAGAAUAAACACAUAUGAUACAGAGCUUGAAUCAAGAGAGAGGGAGUUCAAUGCCAUUCAACUGUCCAUUGAAGACCGGAGUGAGGAACUUAAAGGGAAGGAGAGGCAACUGAAACCAGGCCAACUAUCGAUGGGAGAAUGGGAGAAAGAGCUGAAAGCAAUGAAGGAACAGAAAUAUCCCAUCCAAAAAUCAGUUGUGGAAUGCUCUGAGGAGCUCCAAUCAAAAGAGAAGAACCUUAUUUUGGCAAGAGAAUCUCUCAGAGAAUUUUGUGAUAAUCUCAAAUCGAUGAAGGUGCGGAUGGAUUCAAUUCAACGCACUGGUUAUGAUUAUAGGGUAUUGAAGACAAUGCAACUUAUCCAGCAAUUUAACCUGAGCUUAAUGCAACCUCAAAAAAUUACUGUCUCUCCCCUGAAGUCUUUUGACUUUAACAUGUAGCAAGCAUCUCAACAGAAAACCAUAUUCAGCAUAAUUCCCAUUCAUAUUUUUUGAAACAAUACACUAAUAUUCCAUAAAAAUUCAAGAGAGAUCACAAAUAAUGGAAAUCCGAUCAGGCCAUUUACGUGCCAUGAAGAUAGUGAAGGAAAUAAGAGGCCAUUUUGCAUGCAUAAACCUUUAUUUACCUGCUUAAAUAUGCAGCCAUACUAUUACCAUUCACAUAUAUUCGAUAUAUAUGCAAGCUGCUAAGUAACAAUGAUCUUAAGGUCCAUCAUGAAUAGCAGCAGCCCUGGUGGGGAAUGAUACCGAGGGGAUAGAAGAUGGAGGGCUUGGCGCUGAAGGGAUAGUUGGUGGAAGUGGAGGCAACCUGACAAGUGGUGGAUCAGGCAAAUUAGGAGGAAAUGUAAAGCUGAGAAUAUUACGUGUUGGUGGCAGGAGAUGACAAACUGCCACAGCAACAUCAAUGCUUGAAAAUGACAGCUUGAUCAUGAACAUAGCCAAAAUCAGUAAGCGAGAAGAUGCCAUGGUAUAAUAAUAUAAGAAUAAGACAUCAGUGACCUCUGACCUAGAACAAUCAGGCAAGAAAAGCAAUAGAGGCUUAUGGGGUGUGCAAACUCUGACCUUUCUUUUGCUAUUUAUAAUCGAGGACAUUGAUUCACUGUGUAAAUGAAGGGCAGGUUCACUGUGUAAAUGAAGGGCAGGAUGUAAGCUGCUGCAUUUGACGAGUUUUGUUGCAUGUGCUUGGCUAAAACUGAAGUGCUUCGAAAGCAGAAAUCAAGCAACUGUUAUGUCUCAAAAUUUUGAAUAAAGUUACACAAAUAAUAGUUUCAGUCCACUGACGUUCCAUUUUGAUUGCUAUCUGUGGUCAUGGAAAUUUGGUCCGAGGAUGUUAAUUCGAGGCAGUAAGAUGUUUGGUUAAGAUUAGUACUGCUCUCAUUUCAGUCUUCAUGUGAAGUGGCUGCUAAUGUUGUUGUAGUCUUCAUACCUGUAGCUAAAUAGUUUGAUAGAUUCAGAUAUGUGUCAAAAAUUAGAUACAAAAACAAAACUACACAACUACUCUUUCUUUUCUUCUAUUAAUUUUUUUUCUUACAUUGAUGUAGUUAGCUUCUGUUUGGGGCCAAUACAUUCUAUUUUAGGAACUGUAAUUAAUGAUGUGUUCAAUAUGGUAUGUCAGUGAUCUAUUAGUUUGUUCCAUGUAACCAGCUCAUUAUUUGAAUGAAAAAAUUAUUCAAGUACUUAAUGAUUUUUCCUCAUACGAAGUCCUUUCUGGUUCUCAAACAUGGAUGAUAUCAAUCAUGAUUUUCCUUUCUUAGAAAAAAUGAAUUUCUGGUUCUCAAUAUGAUAUGUCGACGAUCUAUUAGUUUGUUCCAUGUAACUAGAUCAUUAUUUGAUUGGAAAAAUUGUUCAAGUCCUUAAUGAUUUUUCCUUAUACGAAGUCCUUUCUGGUUCUCAAACAUGAAAGAUAUCAAUCAUGAUUUUCCUUAGAAAAAAUGAAUUUCUGGUUCUCAAUAUGAUAUGUCGACGAUCUAUUAGUUUGUUCCAUGUAACUAGAUCAUUAUUUGAUUGGAAAAAUUAUUCAAGUCCUUAAUGAUUUUUCCUUAUACCAAUUCCUUUCUGGUUCUCAAACAUGGAUGAUAUGAAUCAUGAUUUUCCUUUCUUAGAAAAAAAUGAAUUUUUGAUUCGAUAUUUUAGGAAUCGAUGAAGAAGGGCGUCAACAGAAGCUUAUUAAGGAAAGGAUUAGAUGUUGUCCAAUUGUCAGUCACAUAGAUUUGCUGCUGAUUUCUUUCCCUUAUCUGUCAGAAAUGUUAAGAGAAGGGUAUCUUUGCUACAGCUGAUUAUACACAAUGAUGCUGGUUGAGACCUUCUUGUGGUUUAUCUUAUCUUAGUUUUUUUGCAGAGGAUGCUGCCAGGAUAAAAUAUGGGUAUUACAAAGGUUUCACGUAUAUCCUUACCCAGUUAACCUGGUUUUGCUGGAAUGCUGAAACAACGGAGACUCAGGUUAAUUUGUUCCUGUGGAGCAGCCGUGGUGGGGAAUGACACUAUGGAGGGCUUGGCGCUGAAGGGAUAUUUGGUGGAAGUGGAGGCAAUCUGACAAGCGGUGGAUCAGGUAAAUUAGGAGGAACUAUUAAGCCAGGAAUAUUACGCGUUGGAGCCAGGAGAUGGCGAGCUGCCAUGGAAAAUAACAGUGUGAUCAUGAACAUAGAGAAAAUCAGUAAACAAGAAGAUGCUAUAGUAUAAUAAUAUAAGAACAAGAAAUCAGUGACCUCUGACCUAGAACAAUCAGACAAGGAAAGCAAUAGAGGCUUAUGGGCGUGUGGAAACAGUGAUCUUUCAUUUGUUAUUUAUAGUUGUGGGCAUUGAUUCAGCGUGUAAAUGCAGUGUGGUAAGCUGCUGCAUUUGGUGAGUUUUGUUGCUUGUGCUUUGCUAAAACUCGAGCACUUCAAAAGCUGAAAUCAGGCAACCAGUACAUAUUACUCCAGUUGCUGUUAAAUUUUUGUCUCACUGCCUUCAAAUGCAGUUGUAGUCAUCACAUGAGUCUACCUAAUUUGUUUGGUAGAUGCAGGUAUGUCUCAAAAUUUCGAAUAAAGUUACACAAAUAAUAGUUUCAGUCCACUGACGUUCCAUAUUGAUUGCUAUCUGUGGUCAUGGAAAUUUGGUCCGAGGAUGUUAAUUCGAGGCAGUAAGAUGUCAGUAUUUGGUUAAGAUUUGUACUGCUCUCAAUUCAGUUUCAUGUGAAGGCUGCAAAUAUUGUUGUAGUCUUCAUAACUGUAGCUAAAUAGUUUGAUAGAUUCAGAUGUGUCAAAAAUUAGAUGCAAAAAUAAAACUAUACAACUACCCUUUCCUUUCUUCUACUAAUUUUUUUCUCACAUUUAUGUAGUUAGCUUCUGUUUGGGGCCAUUACAUUCUGUUUUAGGGACUGUAAUUAAUGAUGUGUACAAUAUGAUAUGUCGGCGAUCUAUUAGUUUGUUCCAUGUAACCAGAUCAUUAUCUGAUUGAAAGAAUUAUUCAAGUCCUUAAUGAUUUUUCCUUAUACCAAGUCCUUUAUGAUUCUUCAACAGGGAUGAUAUCAAUUAUGAUUUUCCUUUCUUAGAAAAAAAUCAUUCUUCGAGUCAAUAUUUUAGGAAUCAAUGAAGUAGGGCAUCAAUGGAAGCUUAUUCAGGAAAGAGUUAGAUGUUGAAUUGUCAGUCACAGUGUUUUGCUGCUUAUUUCUUUUCCAUAUCUGUCAGAAAUGUUAAAGAGUAGGGUAUCUUUGCUACAGCUGAUCAUUCACAAUGAUGCUGGUUGAGAUCUUGUGGUUUAUCUUAGUUUUUUUGUUAGCAGAGGAUGCUGCCAGCAUAAAAUAUGGGUAUUACAAAGGUUUCAUGUAUAUUCUUAUCCGGUUAACCUAGUUUUGCUGUAAUGCUGAAACUACGGAGACUCAGGUUGCUGUGGAGCAUAUUUUGCAUCAAACUCUGCUACAGAAAAUGCAGAUUUCUGUUCAGACCGAAAAGUUCAUAUCGCAACCCGGUAUAAAGGACAGUCAAGGAUAUUGUUUGAAACAAGCAUCUCAACAGAAAACCAUAUUAAGCAUAACUCCAUUCAUAUUACUUGAAACAGUAUACCAACAUUUUUUUCAUAUGAAAAUUUAAGAGAGAACACAAGUAACUGAAAUCCUCGGCGGUUCUCAUGCCAUGACAAAUAUAGAAGGAAAUAAGAGGCCAUUUUGCAUGCAUGAACUUUUAUUUACGUACUUAUAUGUGAAGCCAUACUAUUACCAUUUACAUAUAUUCCAUAUAUAUGCUGGCUUCGAAGUAACAAUGAUCUUAAGGUCCAUUACGAACAGCAGCAGCCGUGAUGGGGAAUGACACUAUGGAGGGCUUGGCACUGAAGGGAUAAUUGGUGGAAGUAGAGGCAACCUGACAAGUGGUGGAUCAGGCUAAUUAGGAGGAACUGUAAAGCCAGGAAUAUUACGGUAAAUACAGUGUGAUCAUGAACAUAGUCGUUUACAUUGAUUCAGCGUGUAAAUGCAGUGCGGUAAGCUUCUGCAUUUGGUGAGUUUUGUUGCAUGUGCUGGCCAAAACUUAGGAACUUCAAAAGCUGAAUUCAGGCAGCUAGUACAUAUCACUCCAGCCGCUGUUAAAUUUUAAGAGUAGGGCAUCUUAGUACAGCUGGUUAUUCACAAUGAUGGUUGAGGCCUUAUUGUUGUUUUAUUUUAUUACGUAGCAGAGGAUGCUGCCAGCAUAAAUUGGGCAUUACAAAGUAUUCGCAGACA
This is an RNA transcript of Populus euphratica (Euphrates poplar), 5170 nucleotides long. It is a transcript of the gene named golgin subfamily A member 4-like, with no coding region annotated. The record is from RefSeq and is a predicted model, not a curated record. The transcript has 5 exons. NCBI's taxonomy places the organism in Eukaryota, Viridiplantae, Streptophyta, Magnoliopsida, Malpighiales, Salicaceae.